This 464-nucleotide ribosomal RNA is filed under the name uncultured bacterium. RNAcentral's name for it is "bacterial SSU rRNA". It matches the Rfam family "Bacterial small subunit ribosomal RNA", at positions 330 to 792 of the family's 1533-position model. The record is from RNAcentral.
UCCAGACUCCUACGGGAGGCAGCAGUGAGGAAUAUUGGUCAAUGGGCGAGAGCCUGAACCAGCCAAGUCGCGUGAGGGAGUACUGCCCUAUGGGUUGUAAACCUCUUUUGUCGGGGAGCAAAAGCCGGACGUGUCCGUCUGUGAGAGUACCCGAAGAAAAAGCAUCGGCUAACUCCGUGCCAGCAGCCGCGGUAAUACGGAGGAUGCGAGCGUUAUCCGGAUUUACUGGGUGUAAAGGGAGCGUAGACGGUUAUGUAAGUCUGGAGUGAAAGCCCGGGGCCCAACCCCGGGACUGCUUUGGAAACUGUGUAACUGGAGUACAGGAGGGGCAGGCGGAAUUCCUGGUGUAGCGGUGAAAUGCGUAGAUAUCAGGAGGAACACCGGCGGCGAAGGCGGCCUGCUGGACUGAAACUGACGUUGAGGCUCGAAAGCGUGGGGAGCAAACAGGAUUAGAUACCCGUGUA